UGGCAUACGGCUCAGUAACACGUAGUCAACAUGCCCAGGGGACGUGGACAACCUCGGGAAACUGAGGCUAAACCGCGAUAGGCCAAGAUUUCUGGAAUGGAUCAUGGCUUAAAUCUAUAUGGCCCCUGGAUUGGACUGCGGCCGAUCAGGCUGUUGGUGAGGUAAUGGCCCACCAAACCUGUUACCGGUACGGGCUCUGAGAGGAGAAGCCCGGAGAUGGGCACUGAGACAAGGGCCCAGGCCCUAUGGGGCGCAGCAGGCGCGAAACCUCUGCAAUAGGCGAAAGCCUGACAGGGUUACUCUGAGUGAUUUUCGUUAAGAAAGUCUUUUGGCACCUCUAAAAAUGGUGCAGAAUAAGGGGUGGGCAAGUCUGGUGUCAGCCGCCGCGGUAAUACCAGCACCCCGAGUGGUCGGGACGAUUAUUGGGCCUAAAGCAUCCGUAGCCGGUUCUGCAAGUCUCCCGUUAAAUCCAACUGCUUAACAGAUGGGCCGCGGAGGAUACUAUAAGACUAGGAGGCAGGAGAGGCAAGCGGUACUCAGUGGGUAGGGGUAAAAUCCGUUGAUCCAUUGAAGACCACCAGUGGCGAAGGCGGUUUGCCAGAACGCGCUCGACGGUGAGGGAUGAAAGCUGGGGGAGCAAACCGGAUUAGAUACCCGGGUAGUCCCAGCUGUAAACGAUGCAGACUCGGUGAUGGGUUGGCUUCGAGCCAACCCAGUGCCGCAGGGAAGCCGUUAAGUCUGCCGCCUGGGGAGUACGGUCGCAAGACUGAAACUUAAAGGAAUUGGCGGGGGAGCACCACAAGGGGUGAAGCCUGCGGUUCAAUUGGAGUCAACGCCGGGA
RNAcentral lists this ribosomal RNA (841 nucleotides) under uncultured archaeon. Its description in RNAcentral is "bacterial SSU rRNA". It matches the Rfam family "Archaeal small subunit ribosomal RNA", at positions 79 to 923 of the family's 1478-position model. The record is from RNAcentral.